AUGGCGGCCAUGCCGUCGUCGGUGGUGGCGGAGCUGGAGGGCACGCUGCUGCGCGACGCCUGCACCUUCCCCUACUUCAUGCUCGUGGCGUUCGAGGCGUCCGGCCUGCCGCGCUUCGCCGCGCUGCUGGCGCUCUGGCCGGCGCUGCGCCUGCUGGAGCUGCUGCUGGGCCGGGGCGGCCUGGCGCUGCGCUGCGCGGCGUUCGUGGCCACGGCCGGGGUGCCGCGGGCGGAGCUGGAGGCCGUGGCGCGCGCCGUGCUGCCCAAGUUCAUGGCCGACGACGUCGACCCCACCGCGUGGGCGGCCUUCGGGGCCUGCGAGGGGAGGCGCGUCGUCGUCACCCGCAUGCCCCGGGUCAUGGUCGAGUGGUUCGCCAGGGAGCACCUCGGCGCGCACGACGUCGUCGGCUGCGACGUCGAGUACAGCCGGCUCAGGCGGUGCACCGGGCUCCUCAAGGGCGGCCGCGACGAGGCCGUCGCCGAACGCGUGCGCGCGCUUUUCCGGGACGGCGACCGGCCGGACCUCGGUCUGGGCCGGUCGGAAAUGGCACGAUCGUUCUUGCCCUUGUGCAAGGAGCAACUCCAGCCGCCGUUCUCCGCGGACGACGACGACGUGGCGAAGCGACCGAAGUGCCCUCCGUUUCGCCCGGUCAUCUUCCACGACGGUCGGCUCGUGCGCCGGCCGACGGCGCUCAUGUCCAUCGCCAUCCUCCUCUGGAUCCCCCUCGGCGUCCUCCUCGCCAUCGUCCGCAUCACGCUCGGCAUCGUCCUCCCCAUCCAGGCCCUCCCCUACGUCGCCCCCUUCGUCGGCGGCGCCGUCAUCACGCGCGGCCGGCCCCCCGCCCCGACUACCGGCGCCAACGGCUCGCCCACGGGCGUCCUCUUCGUCUGCACGCACCGCACGCUCAUGGACCCGGUGGCGCUCGCGUUCGUGCUCGGCCGGCGCGUGGCCGCCGUGACCUACUCCCUCUCCCGGCUCUCGGAGGUCCUGUCGCCGAUCCCGACGGUGCGGCUGACGCGCGACCGCGACACGGACGCGGCGCGGAUGCGGGCGGAGCUGGCGCGGGGCGACGUGGCGGUGUGCCCCGAGGGCACCACCUGCCGGGAGCCCUUCCUGCUCCGCUUCUCGGCGCUGUUCGCGGAGCUGAGCGACCGGAUCGUCCCCGUGGCGACCAACUACCGCGUGGGGCUCUUCCACCCGACGACGGCGCGGGGGUGGAAGGCCAUGGACCCCAUCUUCUUCUUCAUGAACCCGCGGCCGGUGUACGAGGUGACGUUCCUGAACCAGCUCCCCGCCGAGGCGACGUGCGCCGCCGGGAGGAGCCCCGUCGACGUCGCCAACUACGUGCAGAGGAUACUCGCGGCCACGCUGGGGUUCGAGUGCACCACCUUCACCCGCAAGGACAAGUACCGGGUGCUCGCCGGCAACGACGGCAUCGUCGGCGCCAAGGCCGCCGCGACGGCGACGGCGGCGACCAAGCCAGGAUGGCAGCGCCGGGUCAGGGAGGUGCUCGGGUUCUUGCGCUUCACCAAGAUCGAUUAA
Molecule: ribosomal RNA, 1542 nt
Filed under: Triticum aestivum (bread wheat)
Lineage: Eukaryota; Viridiplantae; Streptophyta; Magnoliopsida; Poales; Poaceae
Description: partial small subunit ribosomal RNA
Source: RNAcentral